CCUACGGGAGGCUGCAGUGAGGAAUAUUGGUCAAUGGACGAGAGUCUGAACCAGCCAAGUAGCGUGAAGGAUGACUGCCCUAUGGGUUGUAAACUUCUUUUAUAUGGGAAUAAAACGUUCCACGUGUGGGAUUUUGUAUGUACCAUAUGAAUAAGGAUCGGCUAACUCCGUGCCAGCAGCCGCGGUAAUACGGAGGAUCCGAGCGUUAUCCGGAUUUAUUGGGUUUAAAGGGAGCGUAGGUGGAUUGAUAAGUCAGUUGUGAAAGUUUGCGGCUCAACCGUAAAAUUGCAGUUGAAACUGGCAGUCUUGAGUACAGUAGAGGUGGGCGGAAUUCGUGGUGUAGCGGUGAAAUGCUUAGAUAUCACGAAGAACUCCGAUUGCGAAGGCAGUUCACUGGACUGCAACUGACACUGAGGCUCGAAAGUGUGGGUAUCAAACAGGAUUAGAUACCCUAGUAGUC
RNAcentral lists this ribosomal RNA (460 nucleotides) under uncultured bacterium. RNAcentral describes it as "partial 16S ribosomal RNA". It matches the Rfam family "Bacterial small subunit ribosomal RNA", at positions 338 to 795 of the family's 1533-position model. The record is from RNAcentral.